UAGGGUGCUUAAAUGAUGACUAUUUCUGAAAUUGGUUUAGUGAUGAGGAACUCGCUGUGAUAAUAUAAGACGGAAAGACCCCAAGAUCUUGGAUUAUAGAUUGAUUUUGUUUGGGGUAAAUGUAUAUUUUUCAUUUAUUUUUAGAUCCUUAUACAGAAGAUAAAGGUUAAAGUUACCUUGGGGAUAACUGAGUAAAGAGUUGUGAGAGGCCAUAUUGAUCGACUUGUUACUACCUCGAUGUUGGCUUAGAGAUACCUUCAUGGAGUAGAAGCUAUGAAAGGUGGUCUGUUCGACCAUUGAAUCUUUUAUGAGCUGAGUUAAAACCGGA
Molecule: ribosomal RNA, 328 nt
Filed under: Schistosoma mekongi
Lineage: Eukaryota; Metazoa; Platyhelminthes; Trematoda; Strigeidida; Schistosomatidae
Description: partial large subunit ribosomal RNA
Rfam family: Bacterial large subunit ribosomal RNA (bases 38-328)
Source: RNAcentral